CUUCAUCUGUAAACGAGUUUUGAAUUUGCCGUCUCUCUCAGUGAUCACCAAAUAAAAAGAGGCUUGCGUUCAUUGAGCAAAGAUGUCUCUGAUCCGAUCAUUGUUUGGUAAUCCAUUAUCCACUGACGUAUGGGCACCAUCUGGUUCAAGCAAUGAGAUUUCCACAUUCGCUAAUGCACAAGUUGAUUGGAAAGAGACCCCAGAAGCCCAUGUCUUCAAGGCAGAUCUUCCAGGGCUAAAGAAAGAGGAGGUGAAAGUUGAGAUUGAGGAAGGAAGGGUUCUUCAAAUAAGCGGAGAAAGAAGUAUGGAGAAGGAGGAGAAAAACGAUAAGUGGCACCGGGUGGAGAGGGGUAGAGGCAAGUUUCUGAGGAGAUUCUGGUUACCAGAGAAUGCUACGGUUGAUGAAGUGAAGGCUUCAAUGGAGAAUGGAGUCCUGACUGUUACUAUUCCGAAGGCGGAGGAGAAGAAGCCUGAGGUCAAGUCUAUUGAGAUCAGCGGAGCUUGAGUUGCAUGAUGAUGUCUUUUUUAUCAAUUCCCUAUGUUUUCUGUGUGAAGCUUUUUUGAACUGCUUAUUGUGUGAAGCUGUGUUGUCUUUCAAUACGAUGAUGUCUUUAGCGUAUUUGUGGUGUUUUUAACUAGGAAAAUAUAAGCAGCAGCUUUUA
Molecule: unclassified non-coding RNA, 662 nt
Filed under: Hevea brasiliensis (rubber tree)
Lineage: Eukaryota; Viridiplantae; Streptophyta; Magnoliopsida; Malpighiales; Euphorbiaceae
Source: RNAcentral